UUCUUCUUCUUUCUCUUUCUGCUUCUCUUCUUCUUGUUCUUCUUCUCUUCGUCGAUCUUAAAACAGAGGAAUGGAUAUUGAAUCUCGUUCAAGUAAUAUUAGGAGGUUGAUAAUAUGAUGGUGUUGAAGUUGUUUUAACUUCAGAUGAAGAAGAAACGACGGAUCGAAGAUAAACAGAAGUUAGGGUUUCUGAGUAAGGAAUUGAUCGAAGAAUUAUAUGGAUUUGAGCAUGAAGUCGAUAAAUUGAUGAUGGAUUUUGUGUGUUUGAAACAAGUGAGAAGAGUUAGCUGUUGAUUUAGGAAUUAAGUGAAGAUCUGAGAAGAUUGGGGUUUUACUGGAAGUCGAAUUAGAGUUCCAAUUAGUGAUGUAUAAGAAGAACUGAGGACUGGGUUUAGUUGAUUGAGGAACAUGGUGAGGUUAAUUAUAUGUUGGAGUAGUUCUGAGGAAGAAUUAAGAAAUUAGGGUUCAUGUUCCUCCCCAAAUUAAGAACUAAGGUUCUGUUUUUGAGGAUUUUGAAUAAGAGGGGAAUUAAAUGAUAGGUUUGAUAGAUUUGAAGGUUUGGUUGUUGUAUUGAGUUUACAUUAGAGAAGAGAAGAGUAGGGAAUUGAAUUAGGGUUUAGUUGAGAAUUUUUGUUGAUGAUGGUGGUAUUGCUUCAAAGGGAGUUCAAACUCGGGGGAGACGGGAAUUAUGGUUUCGGCAUCAGUGGGUGGUAGAACAACAAUUCAGGGAAGACUAUUGUUGGAAUGGUUGCAGGUGGUGACUGAGAAGAGAAUGUGUUUAAAAGUUGGGGUUGAAUUGUUGAUGUAGAUGGGAUUGAGCUCAUAGUAAUACAUCUGUAGCUGUUGGUGAUGUUAUGAAGCUGGAUUGGUAUAAGUCGAGAUGAUGUUCUUUAAUUAUUGAACAUGAUUGAGAUGCAGCUUUAGAUGAAUUGGUAAUGGUGGUGUUGAUGUCUGAAAUGGUUGGAACGUAGAUGAAUGUUUGGAGUCUUUCCAGUGGGUUGAGGCUAUAUUACAGUUCAUGAAAAUAGUGUUCAUGAGAGUUCUGUUUGAGCUAAGGCUAUAACUGAAGAAGUUCAAUGAGAUGUUAUGUGAUUGAGUUAGAUGAGUAUGCUGAGUUGAGUAUCUCUUAUAGGAGCUUAAAGCUGCAACUGCAGGUAGACUUAAUCUUUGAUUGUAAUUGGAAUUUGUAGUUAAAUUAUGUGGUUCAGUUAAAUUAAAUAUAUUAAUAUUGUAAUGAGAGUUUUAGAUGUUUUUAGAUUUAA
This is a long non-coding RNA of Papaver somniferum (opium poppy), 1262 nucleotides long. RefSeq lists it as uncharacterized. The transcript has 2 exons. The record is from RefSeq and is a predicted model, not a curated record. NCBI's taxonomy places the organism in Eukaryota, Viridiplantae, Streptophyta, Magnoliopsida, Ranunculales, Papaveraceae.